This 565-nucleotide ribosomal RNA is filed under the name uncultured bacterium. Its description in RNAcentral is "partial 16S ribosomal RNA". It matches the Rfam family "Bacterial small subunit ribosomal RNA", at positions 355 to 935 of the family's 1533-position model. The record is from RNAcentral.
UGGGGAAUAUUGCACAAUGGGCGAAAGCCUGAUGCAGCAACGCCGCGUGCGGGAUGACGGCCUUCGGGUUGUAAACCGCUUUCAGCAGGGACGAAGGUUUUCUGACGGUACCUGCAGAAGAAGCACCGGCUAACUACGUGCCAGCAGCCGCGGUGAUACGUAGGGUGCGAGCGUUGUCCGGAAUUAUUGGGCGUAAAGAGCUUGUAGGCGGUCCGUUGCGUCGGAAGUGAAAACUCAGGGCUUAACCCUGAGCCUGCUUUCGAUACGGGCGGACUUGAGGGAUGUAGGGGAGAACGGAAUUCCUGGUGGAGCGGUGGAAUGCGCAGAUAUCAGGAGGAACACCAGUGGCGAAGGCGGUUCUCUGGACAUUUCCUGACGCUGAGAAGCGAAAGCGUGGGGAGCAAACAGGCUUAGAUACCCUGGUAGUCCACGCCGUAAACGGUGGGCACUAGGUGUGGGACCCAUUCCACGGGUUCCGUGCCGUAGCUAACGCAUUAAGUGCCCCGCCUGGGGAGUACGGCCGCAAGGCUAAAACUCAAAUGAAUUGACGGGGUCAUAGCUGUUU